UCUCACUGAUAAUCUGUGCAUAUUUGUUUCUUCUCCCUCUCUGUCUCUCUCUGUGUUUCUCUGGCUUUCUCUCUGCCCCCUUCACUCCUUCCCUCCUUCCACUGUCUGUCUGUCUCUCCCUUGCUCGCUCGCUCUCGCUUUCUCUCUCUUCUCUCUCUCUCUCUGUCGCUGUCUUGUCUAUCUCUUACUUUUUUCUCUAUCCUCUCUCUGUAUCUGUCUCUUUUUCUUUGUAUCUCUCUGUCUCUCUCCCUCUCUCUAUUUCCCUCCCUCUCUCUGUCUGCCUCUGGCUCUCUCCUUCCCUCCCAUUUCACUCUUUUUAAAUUUCAACAGUAAUUGAAUUUUCCAGGUACCUGUAAAAAUUCGUUUCAACAGUCAUUUUAUUAACAAUUUGAAUCCCAAAUGGCCCCCCUGGUUUCCUCAUCCCCCCCUCUCAAAAACAGCAAGCAAUCUGACAUAGGUUAUACAUGUAUAAUCAUUUUAACAUAUUUCCAUACUAAUCUUAAGCAAGAAAGAUCAGACCAAAAGGGGAAAAGUACAACAAAGAAAAACGAACCAACCAAAAGGCUGAAAACACCAUUCUGCCUCCACACAGUCUCCACCCAUUCGGAGGCCAUUUUACACCCCAAGUCUGCUGGAAUUGACAGAGAUCAUCAUAUUGCUCAGGAGAGCUAAGGUUUAACAUGAGGUUGCACAGCCUAUAAUCCUGUAUAUUUCCUACUGAACAAGAACAAUCAAUUACAUUCAUAUACCAUAACUUGUUCGGCCAUUCCCCAGUUGAUGGCCAUCCACUCAGUUUCCAGCUCCUUGCCACCACAAGGGCCGCUACAAACAUUUUACACAUGUGGGUCCUUUCCCCUCUUUUGUGAUCUCUUACAUACAGACCCAAUAAUUACAAUGCUGAAUCAAAGGGUACGGACACUUCCAUAACCCUUUGGGCAGAGUUUCAAAAUGCUUUGCAAAUCAGUUCACAACUUCACCAACACGUUAGCUCCGCUCUCUCUCUCUCUCUCAUAGUUUUUCUCUAUAUCAUGAUCACACCUGUGUCUGUUUCUUUCCGGGUGUCUGUCUGUGUCUGCCUCUCCCCACUGACCUGUCUGCCUCAUUCCCUCCCUUGCCUCUUUCUUUCCCACUCCUUCACCCUGCUCUCUCUUUAUGUCUGUCUCUCCUCUGACUCUAUGUCUCUCUCUGUCUUUCCCUGACUUUCUCCAGCCCAUCUGUUCCCCUCUCCUCCUUUUUUUUCUCUUAAUCUCUCUCUUUCACUCUGUCACUCUCUUUAUGUCAUUUUGUGGUUCUAUCAUUCUCUGUAUCUCUUUCUCUAUGUGUCUUUUUCUAAAUCUGUAAGCAUAUCUUCCCUCUUCUUUGUCUCUGUCUCUCUGGGAUUAUGCAUUUUUGUUUGUCUCCCUUUCUGUAUCUUAUUGUCUCUCUCCCUCUCUGUCUCUCAUUGUGUCUUUCCUGUCUUUUUUCUUCCUUUCUCUCUUCACUGACUCCUCUCUUUCCCUCCCUUCUUUCCCUCUCUUCCCUCCUCACUUUGCGCUCUCUUCCUUUCUGGCUUUCCUUCUCUGUCUUUAUCUACCUUUCUCUCCUGAUAACUGUCUCUCUAUCCAUAAAUGUCUCCCCCUCUCUGGCUGUCUCUUCAUUUGUUUCUCUCCCCCUCACUUCACUCUAUCUCUUUUUUAAUUUCAGUAAUAAUUUAUUUUUCCAGUUACAUAUAAAGUUUUCAUCAUUCAUUUUGGUAAGAUUUUGAAUUCCAAAUUUUCCUCCCCUUUCCCUUACUUCCCGGCUCCCUAAGAGAGCAAGCAGUCUGACACAGGGCAUACAUGUACAAUCAUUUUAAGCAUGCCUCCAUGUUACUCAUCUUAUGCAAGAAAGAUCAGACCAAAAGGGGAAAAGCACGACAAAGAAAAGCGAACCAAACAAAAAGUUGAAAACACCAUUUUGUCAUCCACAUCCAGGCUCCACAGUUUUCUCCCUGGAUGUGGAUGCCAUUUUUCAUCCCAAGUCCACUGGAAUUGCCCUGGGCCCCUGUUUUGCUCAGCAGACCCAGGGCACAUCACAAGACCGACCAGCACAUAACCUUGUACCAUUUCUUAUUGAACAACAAGACUCUGUUACAUUCAGAAGCCAUCACUUAUUCAGCCAUUCCCCAACUGAUGGGCGUCCCCUCAAUUUCCAUCUUGCAACCACAAAAAAGGGCUGCAAUAACCAUUUUUGAACAUGUGGGCUUUCCCCCUCUUUUAUGAGUUCUUUGGGAAAGAAACCCAGUAGUGAGACUGCUGGGUCAAAGGGUAUGCACAGUUUCAUAGCCCUUUGAGCAUAGUUCCCAAUUGAUCUCCAGAAUGGCUGGAUCAGUUCACAAAUUUACCAACAAGUCAUUAGCCCUACUCUCCCUCUCUAUUUCUCUUAAUCCUUCUGUGCAUCACAAUCAUCUCUCUCUUUCUGUCUCUGAGCCUCUGCCUCUCUUUUUUUCUCUGUCUCCCUCUCCCUCUGCAGUGCAUCUCUCUUUUUCCCUCUGUCUCUCUGUUCUCUCUGUGUGUCUAUCUCUUUGUAUAUCUUCCCCCCUUUCUGUCUCUUUCUAUGUCCGUGUGUGUGUGUGUCUUUCUCUGUCUGUAUCUCUAAUUAUCUGUGCAUUUUUGUUUAUCUCCUUUGUCUCUCUCAAUUUCUCCCUCUGUCUCUCUGUCUUUGUCUCUAUGGGUCUGUGUGUGUCUCGGUGUCUAUUUUUUUAUCUCUCUUUUCCCAUCAAUUCUUUUAUCUCUCUUUCCCUCCCUCAAUCUGCUCUGUUUGUCUCUCCUUUUCUGUCUUUAUCUCUGUCUCACCUGAUCUGUGUCUAUUUCUACAUGUCUGUCUGUGUCUCUCUCAUUUCUCUCUCCUCACUUCACUCUUUCUCUUUUAUAAUUUCCAUAUUAUUUAUUUUUCAAAUUACAUGUAAAGAUUGUUUUUAACAUUCAUUUUUUUAAUUUAACAUUCAUUUUUGUAAGAUUUUGAAUUCCAAAUUAUCCCCACUCUCUCCGUUACGUCCCCAAACACCAAGCAGCCUGACAUAGGACAUACAUGUACAAUCAUUUUAAACAUAUUUCCAUAUUAUGCAUCUUUUCAAGAAAAAUCAGACCAAAAGGGAAAACCACGACAAAGGAAAACAAACCAACAAAAAGCUGAAAACCCACUUCUGCCGUCCACAUUCACUUUCCAUACAUUUGGGAGCCACCCCAAGUCCUCUGGAAUUGCCCUGGACCCCUGUUUUGCUCAGCAGGACCCAAGACACAUCACAAGAGUGACCAGCACAUAACCUUGUACCAUUUCUUAUUGAACAACACUACAUUCAGAUGCCAUCACUUAUUCAGCCAUUCCCCAAUCAAAGGGCAUCCCUCAAUUUCUGGCUCCUUGCAACCACAAAAAGGGCUGCUACCACCAUUUUUGUCCAUGGGAGGCCUUUUCCCUCUUUUAAGACCUCUUUGGGAUAAAGACCCAUUAGUGAGACUGCUGGAUCAAAGAGUAUGUAAUUUGAUGGCCCUUUGGGCGUGGCUCCCAAUUGAUUUCCAGAAUGGCUGGAUCAGUUCACAAAUCCAACAAUGCAUUUGUCUCAAUAUCUCUCUCUCUCUGUUUCUCUUUUGCUCUCUCCUCCCUGUAGUUCUCCCUCUCUCUCUCAAUUCUUCUCUCUGCACCUCUAUCUCAUCUCUGUACGUGUGUGUCCUAUCUCACUGUCAACCCAUCUCUUUCCUCCUGCUCCCUUUUUUCUCUCAGUCUGUGUGUGUGAGACAUUUCCCUGUCUCACUGUCUCUCUUUAUGACUGUCUCGCUGUUCCCUCUGUCUCCAACACCUCUCUCUCUCCCUCUUUCCUUUUCUCUCUCAAUAUCUCUUUCCCUUGGUCUCUGUCUCUGCUUUUGUGUCCCUCCCUCUCUCUCUCUUUCUUUUCCCCUCUUCUCUCUCAGUCUCUCCCUCUAUGUCUUUGACUGUCUCUUCCUCUCCCAUUCUCUGCCCCACUUCCCCAUUUCACUGUGUCUCUUGUCCCUCUCCAAUAUGAUUCUCUCCUCCUCCUCCUCCUCCCUUUUCUCUCUCAAUCUCUCUCUUUCUCUUGGCUCUGUCUCUGCCUGUGUGUCCCUCCCUCCUCUCUCAGUCUCUUUCCCUUUAUGUCUCUGACUCUGUCUCUUCCUCUCCCUCUCUCGGCUUCACUUCCCCAUUUCACUGUCUCUCUUGUCCCUUUCCAAUUUGAUUCUCUCCUCCUCCCUUUUCUCUCUCAAUCUCUCUCUUU
Molecule: long non-coding RNA, 4246 nt
Filed under: Sarcophilus harrisii (Tasmanian devil)
Lineage: Eukaryota; Metazoa; Chordata; Mammalia; Dasyuromorphia; Dasyuridae
Description: lncRNA (ENSSHAG00000027898.1)
Source: RNAcentral